RNAcentral lists this ribosomal RNA (512 nucleotides) under Trigonopterus sp. 596 AR-2022a. RNAcentral describes it as "partial large subunit ribosomal RNA". It matches the Rfam family "Bacterial large subunit ribosomal RNA", at positions 1856 to 2625 of the family's 2925-position model. The record is from RNAcentral. Lineage: Eukaryota; Metazoa; Arthropoda; Insecta; Coleoptera; Curculionidae.
AGCCUGCCCAAUGAGAAGUUAAAUGGCCGCGGUAUAUUAACCGUGCAAAGGUAGCAUAAUCAAUAGUUUUUUAAUUGAAAGCUGGAAUGAAAGGUUGGAUAAGAAAAUGACUGUCUCUAUAAAAAUUAAUUUGAAUUUUAUUUUUAAGUUAAAAAGCUUAAAUAUAUAUAGAAGACGAGAAGACCCUAUAGAGUUUUAUAUUUUUAAUAUUUAAAGAAAUUAUGGCUUUAUGAAUUAUUUAAAUUUUAAAGAAUAUUUUGUUGGGGUGACAAGAAAAUUAAAUAAACUUUUUUUUUAUCAGUCCAUUUAUUUAUGAAUUUAUGAUCCUAAGAUUUAGAUUAUAAGAUUAAAUUACCUUAGGGAUAACAGCGUAAUUUUUUUUAGAGUUCUUAUCGAAAAAAAAGAUUGCGACCUCGAUGUUGGAUUAAAAUUAAUUGUUGGUGAAGAUGCUAUCAUAUUAGGUCUGUUCGACCUUUAAAAUUUUACAUGAUCUGAGUUUAAACCGGUGUAAG